This 490-nucleotide ribosomal RNA is filed under the name uncultured bacterium. RNAcentral's name for it is "partial 16S ribosomal RNA". It matches the Rfam family "Bacterial small subunit ribosomal RNA", at positions 30 to 507 of the family's 1533-position model. The record is from RNAcentral.
AUUGAACGCUGGCGGCAGGCCUAACACAUGCAAGUCGAACGGUAACAGGAAACAGCUUGCUGUUUCGCUGACGAGUGGCGGGCGGGUGAGUAAUGUCUGGGAAACUGCCUGAUGGAGGGGGAUAACUACUGGAAACGGUAGCUAAUACCGCAUAACGUCGCAAGACCAAAGAGGGGGACCUUCGGGCCUCUUGCCAUCGGAUGUGCCCAGAUGGGAUUAGCUUGUUGGUGGGGUAACGGCUCACCAAGGCGACGAUCCCUAGCUGGUCUGAGAGGAUGACCAGCCACACUGGAACUGAGACACGGUCCAGACUCCUACGGGAGGCAGCAGUGGGGAAUAUUGCACAAUGGGCGCAAGCCUGAUGCAGCCAUGCCGCGUGUAUGAAGAAGGCCUUCGGGUUGUAAAGUACUUUCAGCGGGGAGGAAGGGAGUAAAGUUAAUACCUUUGCUCAUUGACGUUACCCGCAGAAGAAGCACCGGCUAACUCCGUG